GGUUAAGCGACUAAGCGUACACGGUGGAUGCCCUGGCAGUCAGAGGCGAUGAAGGACGUGCUAAUCUGCGAUAAGCGUCGGUAAGGUGAUAUGAACCGUUAUAACCGGCGAUUUCCGAAUGGGGAAACCCAGUGUGAUUCGUCACACUAUCAUUAACUGAAUCCAUAGGUUAAUGAGGCGAACCGGGGGAACUGAAACAUCUAAGUACCCCGAGGAAAAGAAAUCAACCGAGAUUCCCCCAGUAGCGGCGAGCGAACGGGGAGGAGCCCAGAGCCUGAAUCAGUGUGUGUGUUAGUGGAAGCGUCUGGAAAGGCGCGCGAUACAGGGUGACAGCCCCGUACACAAAAAUGCACAUGCUGUGAGCUCGAUGAGUAGGGCGGGACACGUGGUAUCCUGUCUGAAUAUGGGGGGACCAUCCUCCAAGGCUAAAUACUCCUGACUGACCGAUAGUGAACCAGUACCGUGAGGGAAAGGCGAAAAGAACCCCGGCGAGGGGAGUGAAAAAGAACCUGAAACCGUGUACGUACAAGCAGUGGGAGCACGCUUAGGCGUGUGACUGCGUACCUUUUGUAUAAUGGGUCAGCGACUUAUAUUCUGUAGCAAGGUUAACCGAAUAGGGGAGCCGAAGGGAAACCGAGUCUUAACUGGGCGUUAAGUUGCAGGGUAUAGACCCGAAACCCGGUGAUCUAGCCAUGGGCAGGUUGAAGGUUGGGUAACACUAACUGGAGGACCGAACCGACUAAUGUUGAAAAAUUAGCGGAUGACUUGUGGCUGGGGGUGAAAGGCCAAUCAAACCGGGAGAUAGCUGGUUCUCCCCGAAAGCUAUUUAGGUAGCGCCUCGUGAAUUCAUCUCCGGGGGUAGAGCACUGUUUCGGCAAGGGGGUCAUCCCGACUUACCAACCCGAUGCAAACUGCGAAUACCGGAGAAUGUUAUCACGGGAGACACACGGCGGGUGCUAACGUCCGUCGUGAAGAGGGAAACAACCCAGACCGCCAGCUAAGGUCCCAAAGUCAUGGUUAAGUGGGAAACGAUGUGGGAAGGCCCAGACAGCCAGGAUGUUGGCUUAGAAGCAGCCAUCAUUUAAAGAAAGCGUAAUAGCUCACUGGUCGAGUCGGCCUGCGCGGAAGAUGUAACGGGGCUAAACCAUGCACCGAAGCUGCGGCAGCGACGCUUAUGCGUUGUUGGGUAGGGGAGCGUUCUGUAAGCCUGUGAAGGUGUGCUGUGAGGCAUGCUGGAGGUAUCAGAAGUGCGAAUGCUGACAUAAGUAACGAUAAAGCGGGUGAAAAGCCCGCUCGCCGGAAGACCAAGGGUUCCUGUCCAACGUUAAUCGGGGCAGGGUGAGUCGACCCCUAAGGCGAGGCCGAAAGGCGUAGUCGAUGGGAAACAGGUUAAUAUUCCUGUACUUGGUGUUACUGCGAAGGGGGGACGGAGAAGGCUAUGUUGGUCGGGCGACGGUUGUCCCGGUUUAAGCGUGUAGGCUGGUUUUCCAGGCAAAUCCGGAAAAUCAAGGCUGAGGCGUGAUGACGAGGCACUACGGUGCUGAAGCAACAAAUGCCCUGCUUCCAGGAAAAGCCUCUAAGCAUCAGGUAACAUCAAAUCGUACCCCAAACCGACACAGGUGGUCAGGUAGAGAAUACCAAGGCGCUUGAGAGAACUCGGGUGAAGGAACUAGGCAAAAUGGUGCCGUAACUUCGGGAGAAGGCACGCUGAUAUGUAGGUGAAGUCCCUCGCGGAUGGAGCUGAAAUCAGUCGAAGAUACCAGCUGGCUGCAACUGUUUAUUAAAAACACAGCACUGUGCAAACACGAAAGUGGACGUAUACGGUGUGACGCCUGCCCGGUGCCGGAAGGUUAAUUGAUGGGGUCAGCGCAAGCGAAGCUCUUGAUCGAAGCCCCGGUAAACGGCGGUACGUAACUAUAACGGUCCUAAGGUAGCGAAAUUCCUUGUCGGGUAAGUUCCGACCUGCACGAAUGGCGUAAUGAUGGCCAGGCUGUCUCCACCCGAGACUCAGUGAAAUUGAACUCGCUGUGAAGAUGCAGUGUACCCGCGGCAAGACGGAAAGACCCCGUGAACCUUUACUAUAGCUUGACACUGAACAUUGAGCCUUGAUGUGUAGGAUAGGUGGGAGGCUUAGAAGUGUGGACGCCAGUCUGCAUGGAGCCGACCUUGAAAUACCACCCUUUAAUGUUUGAUGUUCUAACGUUGACCCGUAAUCCGGGUUGCGGACAGUGUCUGGUGGGUAGUUUGACUGGGGCGGUCUCCUCCUAAAGAGUAACGGAGGAGCACGAAGGUUGGCUAAUCCUGGUCGGACAUCAGGAGGUUAGUGCAAUGGCAUAAGCCAGCUUGACUGCGAGCGUGACGGCGCGAGCAGGUGCGAAAGCAGGUCAUAGUGAUCCGGUGGUUCUGAAUGGAAGGGCCAUCGCUCAACGGAUAAAAGGUACUCCGGGGAUAACAGGCUGAUACCGCCCAAGAGUUCAUAUCGACGGCGGUGUUUGGCACCUCGAUGUCGGCUCAUCACAUCCUGGGGCUGAAGUAGGUCCCAAGGGUAUGGCUGUUCGCCAUUUAAAGUGGUACGCGAGCUGGGUUUAGAACGUCGUGAGACAGUUCGGUCCCUAUCUGCCGUGGGCGCUGGAGAACUGAGGGGGCUGCUCCUAGUACGAGAGGACCGGAGUGGACGCAUCACUGGUGUUCGGGUUGUCAUGCCAAUGGCACUGCCCGGUAGCUAAAUGCGGAAGAGAUAAGUGCUGAAAGCAUCUAAGCACGAAACUUGCCCCGAGAUGAGUUCUCCCUGAGACUUUAAGUCUCCUGAAGGAACGUUGAAGACGACGACGUUGAUAGGCCGGGUGUGUAAGCGCAGCGAUGCGUUGAGCUAACCGGUACUAAUGAACCGUGAGGCUUAACCUU
RNAcentral lists this ribosomal RNA (2904 nucleotides) under Escherichia coli. Its description in RNAcentral is "23S ribosomal RNA". It matches the Rfam family "Bacterial large subunit ribosomal RNA". The record is from RNAcentral. Lineage: Bacteria; Pseudomonadati; Pseudomonadota; Gammaproteobacteria; Enterobacterales; Enterobacteriaceae.